This 125-nucleotide ribosomal RNA is filed under the name Halorubrum lipolyticum. The record is from RNAcentral. Lineage: Archaea; Methanobacteriati; Methanobacteriota; Halobacteria; Halobacteriales; Haloferacaceae.
GGCGGCCAGAGCGGUGGGGACACACCCGUACCCAUUCCGAACACGGAAGUUANGAAGUUAAGCCCACCAGCGUACCGGGAAGUACUGGAGUGAGCGAUCCUCUGGGAACCGCGGUUCGCCGCCUG